GAUGAACGCUGGCGGCGUGCUUAACACAUGCAAGUCGAACGGAAAGGCCCAAGCUUGCUUGGGUACUCGAGUGGCGAACGGGUGAGUAACACGUGGGUGAUCUGCCCCGCACUUCGGGAUAAGCCUGGGAAACUGGGUCUAAUACCGGCUAGGACAGUGGUUUGGAUGCUAUUGUGGAAAGUUUUUUCGGUGUGGGUUGAGCAAGCGGCCUAUCAGCCUGCUGUAGGGGUAAUGGCUUACCAAGGCGUCGACGGGUAGCCGGCGUGGGAGGGUGUACGGCCACAGUGAGACUGAGAUACAGCCCAGACUCCGACGGGAGGCGGCGGUAGGGAAUAUGGCACAAUGGGCACAGGCCUGAGGCAGAGACGGCGCGGGGGGGAGGACGGCCUUCGGGUUAUAGACGCCUAUCGCUAGUAACGAGGCGGUAUGUGACAGUACCUGGAGAAGAAGCACCGGCUAACUACGUG
RNAcentral lists this ribosomal RNA (467 nucleotides) under uncultured bacterium. RNAcentral describes it as "partial 16S ribosomal RNA". It matches the Rfam family "Bacterial small subunit ribosomal RNA", at positions 28 to 507 of the family's 1533-position model. The record is from RNAcentral.